UUUGUACUAACUGAUUGCAGUAACACCAAGAUGCGAUACAAGUAUUAUUAAAUUGUCGUAUAGUUAAUACCUACUAUAUUUCAUAUUAUACACGUUUAGUUUUAUUAAUUCAAUCAGGAACGGACUUUUUCGUUAAGUAAUUAAUGUGAAAACGACCGCAGUGUUCUACAUAGCGAUCACUGAACUUUAUUUGUGACACACGCACAACAUACUAGAUAUUUUGUGUACAACAAAACCAAUUUCGUGUGAUUAUCUUUAAAAAUAAAAAAAAAAUCCCAGACUUAUUGUAUUGUAACAAGCUGCGAUUAUCGAAACUCGUUUAAUAUAUUUAUUUUAUAAGACAACCAAGAUCUUAACAAAUGUUAUAUCACAAAUAAUAUGAAAUACAACAUAUAGUAAAAAUGGCUUGGAUCAGCUAACAUAUAACAUAUUAACAGCUUCUUCUAUAAUGGCACGUGUACAACUAUGACUAGUUCCAUUGUUAAUAUCAAAUAUAAAAAUGAUAUGAUUUUGGUAAGAAAAAAGAUCUAUGAACAAACACAGAAAUCAAGUUAUAAAAAGAAAUGUAUUGAUUCUCAAAAAUCAUUUUUAUUCUUUUGAGAGUAUCAGAAUAAUGCUACUUUUAUAUUAUAGUGGGCCACCGAGUCACUAUACGAGAAACUGUUGAAUGAUGGUAGAAGUCAUGGUAAAAUAAUAUAGUCGUAAAUCUUUAGGAGUCCUAAGUGUUUUUUUAAUUGAAGUUAUUCAUGUCCCAAUAAUUAAAUUCUGAUAUAAUCUUGCAAAAAACGCUUGACUGACUGGUAAAUUACGUACAAAAAAUUCCUAUCCAAGGCUAAACUACUAUAUGUAUAGUCGCACUAAUAUAUAGUACUAUUAUAUAUAUAAGAUACCAAAGCACGUAGCACCUUUCCACGAAAAAAAAGUCCCCAAGAAAGAAAUCUUUCCAAGUCUAGUACAAAUAUAGUUAAGUUACAAUCUAGUUUACAAUAUUUUCCUAUGAGUCAAAUAUAAUACACAUUAUAAUUAUUUGUAUGUUUUUACAUUUACAUUGGAUUUUUCAUUUUCAUUUUUACGAUAAGUUGAAUAUUGGUUAUAUUGGUAAUUAUAUAAUUUAAUUAAUUUAAAUUGAUUAGUAGUUACAUCAGUUACAUGAUUUAAGUAUGUGUUUUU
Long non-coding RNA from Rhopalosiphum maidis (corn leaf aphid), 1170 nucleotides. RefSeq lists it as uncharacterized. The record is from RefSeq and is a predicted model, not a curated record. Lineage: Eukaryota; Metazoa; Arthropoda; Insecta; Hemiptera; Aphididae. The transcript has 3 exons.